UACGGGGGGGGCAAGCGUUAUUCGGAAUUACUGGGUGUAAAGGGCGCGUAGGCGGCCGAUUAGGUCAGGUGUGAAAUCCCUCGGCUCACCCGAGGAACUGCGCUUGAUACCAUUCGGCUUGAGUACAGGAGAGGUGGGCGGAAUUCCAGGUGUAGCGGUGAAAUGCGUAGAUAUCUGGAAGAACACCGGUGGCGAAGGCGGCUCACUGGACUGUCACUGACGCUGAAGCGCGAAAGCGUGGGGAG
This 245-nucleotide ribosomal RNA is filed under the name uncultured bacterium. RNAcentral's name for it is "partial 16S ribosomal RNA". It matches the Rfam family "Bacterial small subunit ribosomal RNA", at positions 524 to 768 of the family's 1533-position model. The record is from RNAcentral.